AGUCCUUGGGAGGAACGUUUUCCCCCUUUUCUGGUUUACAAGACCAGGGUAAAUGUGCA
This 59-nucleotide transfer RNA is filed under the name Equus caballus (horse). Its description in RNAcentral is "partial transfer RNA-Thr". Lineage: Eukaryota; Metazoa; Chordata; Mammalia; Perissodactyla; Equidae. The record is from RNAcentral.